UAGCAUAUCAAUAAGCGGAGGAAAAGGAAACUAACAAGGAUUCCCCUAGUAACUGCGAGUGAAGCGGGAAAAGCUCAAAUUUAAAAUCUGGCGGUCUUUGGCCGUCCGAGUUGUAAUCUAGAGAAGUAAUGCCCGUGCUGGACCGUGUAUAAGUCUCCUGGGAUGGGGCGUCAUAGAGGGUGAGAAUCCCGUCUUUGACACGGACUACCAGUGCAUUGUGGUAUGCUCUCAAAGAGUCGAGUUGUUUGGGAAUGCAGCUCAAAAUGGGUGGUAAAUUCCAUCUAAAGCUAAAUAUUGGCGAGAGACCGAUAGCGAACAAGUACCGUGAGGGAAAGAUGAAAAGAACUUUGGAAAGAGAGUUAAACAGUACGUGAAAUUGCUGAAAGGGAAACGCUUGAAGUCAGUCGCGUUGGCCAGGGAUCAGCCUUGCUUUUGCAUGGUGUACUUUCUGGUUGACGGGUCAGCAUCAAUUUUGACCACUGGAAAAGGGCCUGGGGAAUGUGGCAGCUUCGGCUGUGUUAUAGCCCCUAGUCGCAUACGGUGGUUGGGAUUGAGGAACUCAGCACGCCGCAAGGCCGGGUUUCGACCACGUUCGUGCUUAGGAUGCUGGCAUAAUGGCUUUAAGCGACCCGUCUUGAAACACGGACCAAGGAGUCUAACAUGCCUGCGAGUAUUUGGGUGGAAAACCCGAGUGCGCAAUGAAAGUGAAAGUUGAGAUCCCUGUCGUGGGGAGCAUCGACGCCCGGACCAGAACUUUUGGGACGGAUCCGCGGUGGAGCAUGUAUGUUGGGACCCGAAAGAUGGUGAACUAUGCCUGAAUAGGGUGAAGCCAGAGGAAACUCUGGUGGAGGCUCGUAGCGAUUCUGACGUGCAAAUCGAUCGUCAAAUUGGGUAUAGGGGCGAAAGACUAAUCCAACCAUCUAGUAGCUGGUUCUGCGAAGU
Molecule: ribosomal RNA, 942 nt
Filed under: Agaricus hondensis
Lineage: Eukaryota; Fungi; Basidiomycota; Agaricomycetes; Agaricales; Agaricaceae
Description: LSU rRNA
Rfam family: Eukaryotic large subunit ribosomal RNA
Source: RNAcentral